AACGAACGCUGGCGGCAGGCCUAACACAUGCAAGUCGAACGGGUGUAGCAAUACAUCAGUGGCGCACGGGUGAGUAACACGUGGGAACGUACCCUUCACUACGGAACAACGUCGGGAAACUGACGCUAAUACCGUAUAAUGUCUUCGGACCAAAGAUUUAUCGGUGAAGGAUCGGCCCGCGUCUGAUUAGCUAGUUGGUGAGGUAAUGGCUCACCAAGGCGACGAUCAGUAGCUGGUCUUAGAGGAUGAUCAGCCACACUGGGACUGAGACACGGCCCAGACUCCUACGGGAGGCAGCAGUGAGGAAUCUUGGACAAUGGGCGCAAGCCUGAUCCAGCCAUGCCGCGUGCAGGAUGAAGGCCUUCGGGUUGUAAACUGCUUUUGUACGGAACGAAAAGACUCUUUCUAAUAAAGAGGGUCCAUGACGGUACCGUAAGAAUAAGCACCGGCUAACUACGUG
This 460-nucleotide ribosomal RNA is filed under the name uncultured bacterium. RNAcentral's name for it is "bacterial SSU rRNA". It matches the Rfam family "Bacterial small subunit ribosomal RNA", at positions 29 to 507 of the family's 1533-position model. The record is from RNAcentral.